GAUGAACGCUGGCGGCGUGCCUAAUACAUGCAAGUCGAGCGAACAGACGAGGAACUUGCUCCUCUGACGUUAGCGGCGGACGGGUGAGUAACACGUGGAUAACCUACCUAUAAGACUGGGAUAACUUCGGGAAACCGGAGCUAAUACCGGAUAAUAUAUUGAACCGCAUGGUUCAAUAGUGAAAGACGGUUUUGCUGUCACUUAUAGAUGGAUCCGCGCCGCAUUAGCUAGUUGGUAAGGUAACGGCUUACCAAGGCAACGAUGCGUAGCCGACCUGAGAGGGUGAUCGGCCACACUGGAACUGAGACACGGUCCAGACGCCUACGGGAGGCAGCAGUAGGGAAUCUUCCGCAAUGGGCGAAAGCCUGACGGAGCAACGCCGCGUGAGUGAUGAAGGUCUUCGGAUCGUAAAACUCUGUUAUUAGGGAAGAAUAAAUGUGUAAGUAACUAUGCACGUCUUGACGGUACCUAAUCAGAAAGCCACGGCUAACUACGU
This 496-nucleotide ribosomal RNA is filed under the name uncultured bacterium. RNAcentral's name for it is "partial 16S ribosomal RNA". It matches the Rfam family "Bacterial small subunit ribosomal RNA", at positions 28 to 506 of the family's 1533-position model. The record is from RNAcentral.